GUACCUACAAAGAACAGACCUGUGCUGCUCCAGAGAUAACCGGCGUGCAACGUCUUUGUUAUAUAGCCCAUCUAUCUCAGGAAGGAAUCAAGCAGUAGUGAAUAUUGAACGACGUUAUUUAUAAGGCAAAAGUUGUAUUCUACAUCCGUCAUGCCUAAAGAUGUUAAGUAUUUAUCAAACAGACGAAGGAAUCAAAUUAUUAGUAAAGAUGUAUAUAAUAGUGAAAAUAAUGUUUUAUUGGAAAGAGCUUCACCCAAUGCAGCAUCUAUUAUUAUAGUAAAAGCAGAUAAUAUUAUUGUAAAUUCUGAUAACAUAUCGUAUACUAAUAAUGUAUCACUUAAAGAUACAAAGCAAUCGGAGAAAUUAUCAGUAGAGUUGCAGUAUGAAAGUGAUGAAGAAUAUAUUCCUGAAUCACAAGAAAAUAUACCUAUAUUAACCAAUAUUUCUGAGAGCAGCAAAGAGCAAAGCUUACGUAAAGACUUACAAAAGUUAAUUAUACAACGUAACAUCCCUCACAGUACUGCUAAUGAGUUACUUGCAAUAUUAAAAAAACAUGGUCAUAUAGAAUUGCCUAGUGAUGUUAGGGUUUUACUUCAUACGCCACGCAAUGCAUCUGUAAAUAUUAAAUGCAUGGGUAAUGGUCAUUAUAUACAUUUUGGUCUUACUUCAGUUUUAGCUCGAUCCAUAGAAAUAUAUUCCAAGUUUAUUAAGAUAAGUGAAAUUAAAAUAAACAUAAAUAUAGAUGGCUUGCCAAUUUAGAAGAGUUCUACUAGCCAAUUCUGGCCCAUAAUGGGACCGAUUGAAGAUAUUGGUAUUCAUCGGCAUUCAUUGCCAUUUGUAAUUGGUGUAUAUCACGGUAUGUGUAAACCAAGCAAUGUAAAUGAUUUCCUCACCAGUUUUGUUGAUGAAUUUUUAUUCUUAUCCAAAAGUGGUAUAAUUGUUCAUAAUAAUAAAUAUAAAGUGAGUAUUAACGUAAUAUUGUGUGAUGCUCCAGCUAAAUCAUUCAUAACGUGCACAAAGGGUCACACAAGAUAUUUCUCGUGUUCUAAAUGUGUUCAAGAAGACGACUUCAUAAACAAUACAGUAAUUUUCCUUGAAACUAAUAGUAUGUUACGUACAGAUAACUCGUUUAAAAUUCGAAGUCAAACUGAACAUCAUACAGGCGAUUCUAUAUUGGAAAAUCUUUCCAUCGAGAUGGUUUCACAAAUCCCACUUGAUUAUAUGCACCUUAUUUGCUUGGGUGUUACGAAACGGUUAUUGCAAUUGUGGAUUAGGGAAAAUAAAAGUAACAGAUUAAAUGCAGAAAAUAUUAAUUUAACUUCACAACAUUUAAUAAAUAUAAAAUAUUGCAUUCCAUCUGAAUUUGCAAGAAAGCCUAGAACUUUACUCGAUAUUGAUAGAUGGAAAGCUACGGAAUUGCGCCAAUUUUUGUUAUAUACUGGAAUAGUAAUUUUGAAGUCAACCUUAUCUCCGCUAUGGUAUAACCAUUUCCUUUCCCUUAGUAUUGCGAUAAGAAUAAUGGCUAAUCCGCAAUUAUGCACGAAAUAUCUUGCUUAUGCUUAUUCAUUAUUAUUAUGGUUUGUAUCCAAUUACGGAGUUAUUUACGGAGAAGAAUAUAUAUCACACAAUGUUCAUAAUCUUAUUCAUAUUGCUAAUGAUGUAAAAAUUUUUGGGUGUCUUGAUAAUUUCAGUUGCUUUAAGUUCGAAAAUCAUAUGCAAAAAAUAAAAAGAAAAUUGCAUAAUUGUGGAAAACCGUUACAAGAAUUAUCAAAUCUCAUAUUUGAAGUAUCUCAACAAGAAAUUAUACAGCACUCUGUAAUAAAUUAUCCAUCUGUCAUUUACACAAAUAAUAAAAAAAUUUCUUAUGUUCAAUAUGAAAACUUUAAAAUUGCAUUAACUGAAAUUGACAAGUGUGCUUUGCUUAAUGAUAAUUCUUUAAUUUUUAUUUUAGAUAUAAUUAAUGAGAACAGCAUAUUAUUUUUUCAUGCGAAACGUUUUUUAAAUACAAAAUCUUUUUUUACUGUUCCAUGUGCUUCGGAAGAGUUGGAUAUAUUUAUAAUUUUAAGCACAACUGCGGCAGAAACUAUAACAGUUCCACUCACCGAAAUCAAGAAAAAAUGUUUAAUAUUGAAAAAUACGGACCAACCUGAUUCUUAUAUUACAAUACCACUACUUCAUACUAACAAUUAGAUGCUCUGCAUUGUUAUUAAUUAGAAAGUAUUUGAACAAACCAAAAAAAAUAUGAUGAUGAAUAUUAAUCAUUGCAACGUGUUUCUUCGUCUUGAAUAAAUAAAUACUGAUAUACUUACAUACUUGGAAACGUGAAAAUAUUAUCCGCAUUCAAUAAAACAAACAUUUAUAAGGGUGAAUUUGUGAACUGUGUUUUAUUUAAUAAGAGAACUUGUUUUCUAAUGGAAGAAUAGUUCCAUUAGAUAAAACA
Molecule: RNA transcript, 2440 nt
Organism: Harpegnathos saltator (Jerdon's jumping ant)
Lineage: Eukaryota; Metazoa; Arthropoda; Insecta; Hymenoptera; Formicidae
Exons: 3
Source: RefSeq, a predicted model, not a curated record